RNAcentral lists this ribosomal RNA (253 nucleotides) under uncultured bacterium. RNAcentral's name for it is "partial 16S ribosomal RNA". It matches the Rfam family "Bacterial small subunit ribosomal RNA", at positions 524 to 776 of the family's 1533-position model. The record is from RNAcentral.
UACGUAGGGGGCAAGCGUUGUUCGGAUUCAUUGGGCGUAAAGGGUGCGUAGGCGGCGCGGUAAGUCGGGUGUGAAAUCUCGGAGCUUAACUCCGAAACUGCAUUCGAUACUGCCGUGCUUGAGGACUGGAGAGGAGACUGGAAUUUACGGUGUAGCGGUGAAAUGCGUAGAUAUCGUAAGGAAGACCAGUGGCGAAGGCGGGUCUCUGGACAGUUCCUGACGCUGAGGCACGAGGGUCAGGGGAGCAAACGGG